AGCGUUAAUCAGGCGCUCGCUGUUUGGGUGACCAAGCAGAGGAAAGUCUGGGCAUCAAAUGGCAUCAUGCAAGCUAACGGCUUGUCGUGGCGACACGAAGGACAGUGCAACAGAAAGCAAACCGCCCGUUUAUCGGGUAAGGGUGAAACGGCGGAGUAAGUGCCCACCGCACUGCGGGUGACCGUAGUGGCAAUGUAAACCCCAUGAGAUGCAAGGUCAGUGGUCGGGAUUUAAUGGCGGCCAGUCAACCCGACCCAUACACCGCGCGAGCGUGCCGGUGACGGUACGCCAAGAUAGAUGAGCGCUCAACGACAUAACCCAGCUUACCGAUUAACUCUAAUC
Molecule: RNase P RNA, 342 nt
Filed under: Clostridia bacterium
Lineage: Bacteria; Bacillati; Bacillota; Clostridia
Description: RNase P RNA component class A
Rfam family: Bacterial RNase P class A
About the family: Ribonuclease P (RNase P) is a ubiquitous endoribonuclease, found in archaea, bacteria and eukarya as well as chloroplasts and mitochondria.
Source: RNAcentral